Molecule: RNA transcript, 7589 nt
Organism: Oncorhynchus gorbuscha (pink salmon)
Lineage: Eukaryota; Metazoa; Chordata; Actinopteri; Salmoniformes; Salmonidae
Gene: ppp1r18
Gene name: protein phosphatase 1, regulatory subunit 18
Exons: 5
Source: RefSeq, a predicted model, not a curated record
CCCCUGAUGGAAUUAAGUGUAAUUAGUGGAUUACAGUAGUCGGACAGCACUGCAGUUGGGGAAUAUUUACUACCAAUGGAGGUGUUUCAAAUUGACAUGCUCUAAUUCACAGUGUAGUCGUCAUUAAGAUAAUCGAGCUACGUGAACAUUAUUAAUCCUGACUUUUUGACAACAUCGAUUAAUCAACUAUAUCGGAAAGCUUUAGAUAGAGACCAAUCUUCCAGUUGGUGCUUUGAACGCAUUAAGAACAACGGGUGGCGCACAGUCGCCCGUCAUUCAGAAGCUGACUCCUCUCAAACCAACACAGAGGGGGAUAUAAAGCAUUACUGCGGAAUACCCAGGAUUUGACCUGUUGCCAGAGCUUUAAAAGAAAGGAAGAUUAGGCAACUUGCCAAAAGCAAGACCUCUUCUCUGUUAUGUCUGCCUCCUCUUUACCGGAAUGGAAACAACUCCUGUUGGAGCGAAAGAGGAGGGAGGAGGAGGAGCGAGAGAAGAGAGAAAAAGAGGAGGAGGACAAACUCGCCAGCAUGCCUGCCUGGAAGCGAGGGAUCAUCCAGAGGAGGAGAAUGAAACAGGAGAGUUUCGGGGACAAGGAGAGGGAGGGCCCCCUCCAAGUCAAGGAGGGCAGGUCCCCCUCUGAUCCUGCGAGUGACCUGGACGGCUCUACACUAGUGCAGCUGGGAAGUGAACCACCACUCAGCCCAGACAUCACAGGGCCUUGGCUGGAUGAAGAGGCUAAACCGCAGAGUCUGGUGUUAAAGGAGACCAUCAUCCCUGUCGGACAAAACUCAUUCAUUCGCACACAUGGCGGAUGGAGGGGGGGAAGAGAAGCAGAGAGGGCUGGGGAGAUGGGCCACGAGAAAGGGAAUGAGCAGGAAAUAGAAGUAGGGAGAGAGAGGCAAAAGGAGAAAGAAAGAGGCCACGUCAAAGGUCAUGAUGGAGAGUCUGGGAAGGGAAGAGAUAUAGAAAUACAAAUAGAGCGAUACAGGGACAGGAGUGGGGGCAGAGAAAGGGACAGGAGUGGGGGCAGAGAAAGGGACAGGAGUAGAGGCAGAGAAAGGGACAGGAGUGCCGGGAGAGAGACGAGCCGGGAUACGGUGAGAGACAGGGAAAGGGAUUGCCCGAGAGGGAGAAAAGAGGAGGAGAGGGAGGAGGGAGACUUAAAUUCUCCAACCCCCAAGUACUCCUAUCCACUAGUCCCAGGCCUUCGUACCAUCAGAGCAGACAACAUCAUCAUUAUUGAACAGGACAGAAAGGGAAGUGAUGAAAGGAGGGGUAGAAGGAGAGAGUCAGAGAGGGAGAGGGAGGUGAUGGAAGAGGAGCAGGAAAAUAGAGAUGUAAAGAUGGACCUCCAGGAGUUUCUGGCUGGUGGAGGGAGUGUCACAGAGAUCCGGGCAUCAGAAAUAUUGAUCAUUAAACCCUUAGCUGGCAAUGAGGACUCAAGAAGUGGAGGUCUCAAAGGGACAGGCAGGGAAGGAGACGGAGAAAGAGGGAGAGAUGCAAAGUACAAUAAAGAUGGAGGGAAAGACUGUGAGAGGCAGCUGGAGAGAGAGGUGGCAUGGCUGAUGAUGAAAGAUAAAGAGAGGGAAAACUUGAGGGAGAAAGACCGACCACGGACACAAGUAGCUUCUUCAGAAAAAGAGGAUCGGAGAUAUGGUGACACAGAUGACAGUAUCCACAACGAGAGAGGAGUUAGGGUGAGUGAGCUGCUGAGUAAAUUUGGGGAGCACACAAAGAAAUUCAGAGAACAUCCAAAACCCCCAUCCCGGUCUAAAAGCUCAGAGUGUUUCAUCCGGCCUGGCAGGGGCAGAGAAACGUUUUGUCUGGAUGAUGGAGACAGCAGGGAGGAGGAACAUGCAGGAUUCAGGGGUGUGCCCAAGCGGUCAUUCAGCUUCUCUGACCGCGUGAUAUGCACAAAGGAGAAUGGCAUGCAGGACGAGGGGAACCAUGAUAGGAAGGUUGUGGAGAGGACAUGUUCAGACAGGAGGGUGGCAGCAAAGGGAGAUGUAGUGGAGGGGGAAUGGUCAGAGAGGGGAGGCAAGCAGGGGUGCUGGACCUGGCUUUCAGAUAAAGUGCCUGUGGGGAAGCAUAGAGAGGGAUGCAUAAAAGCAGACAGGGCGGUAGGGGGACAGCACGAGAGGCGGCCUGCUUUGGAAAGUAACGCCGGAAAAGAGAUUGACCGUUGGGUCGAGAGAGUAACAGGAGUGGAGUUAGAUUUUAGCAACAAGGGGACAGAGGGACUCAGAGAGAAUAUGUAUGGGGAGGUAGGGUUUACAAUGGCCUCAGUUAGAAACACAGAGGCCUCGUUUGCGCGAAGAGUGCCCAUCAGACAGGAUGGUCGAGAGAGAGCAGUGGAAAAAGAGGUAGAGCAAAUGAGAGAAGAAAGCGAGAGAGGGUUGGACAAGGCGAGGAGCAAAGGGAGAGAGGGGGUGGGUGGAAGAGAGGCGGAACCUCAAGUGUGGGAGAGAAGGGAGUCAGAGUUUAGGAGAGGAUCAGAGGUAAGGGACAUGAAGAGGGUAUCAGAGGUAAGGGACUGCACAAUUUCAGUUGAAACAACUCAGCAAAACUGUGUGAUCACCCUCUCCAUCGACAGAGCCAGUCCUCCUCAGUCUGUCGAUAGUCAUUACAACCACGUGUCAGCGUUUGCAGAGUGCUCAUCAACCUUGCUCAGUACUGUGGCACAUAAAGGAACAGAUUGGCAUAGUAGUCAAGGAGCACCGGGACACCAUUCAACCCAGUCACCACUGUCACAGCACACAGAGGAUCUUAUCAACAAGAUAGAGAGAUUGGGGGGGACAGUGAAUGAACGUGACAAUCACAAAGGGACCCAAACAUUGAUGCAGGAUGGCAAAGGAGUGAUGAGGGAGGACACAGAGACUGAGAGAGGGAGCAAAGCUUAUAGGGAGCCAGGUGAGGUAAGCAAGGACACUAUACAUUCACCUGGCGCACACGUGCACAGUCAUGUUUACCCCAAAAAGUCAGUUCAUGAAGUGACGCCUAAAUGUCCUAAGUCUCCAAAGUGCUUUGCCUCAGUUGGAACCCCUCCAAUGCCACUUGAGAUACACAUACCAAGGACCGUGUUCUAUGGUGUCGGGGAGGCAAGCUUCCAAAGCGAAUACGACCAGAGCUGUGAAGGAGAGGGAGGAAAAGGUGUGGAGAGGAAGGACAGUUGGAGGAUCGGCAAGCCCUUGUCUCACAUCGAAUCCUUGCGAGAGAAAAUCCAACAGAGAGAGAAGGAGAGGCUGAGGAACAUGGAGGGAGUGGCAACGACGGGGGACGAUGGAGAUGCGACUGAGGGGACAGAAAAGGCUGGGACUAGAAGGACUAGAAAAGCUUCAAGUUCAGACUGGUGUGAGGAAGGAGAGAUGGGGAACGAAAUAGAGCGAGAGAGACAGAGACAGGAAGGCUCCCCACCGCAGACAACAUCCACUCAGUUUGACGUCACACAGGAAGUGAGCGUGUCAAAAGCCGUCUCCCAGCUUCCUGUUCCUCUCUCGUUCUCGCAAGCUGUCAAAGGAGAGAAAGAAACCAGAGGGAUCUCCAUCGCAGCCUGUGAAGCAGCCUUGUUCAGCUCUCACACAACUGAGAGAGGGGAAGAUCCAAUCAAACAUGUACUAGCAGAGUUGCGGUGCGACAGGGGUCGGCAGAGGAAACAGAACACCGGAGGCAAAGGAGAAGAAGGAGAGGAUAAACUCUCGGAGGAAGAGUACAGGCUGCAUUAUCUGCCUCCUUCACACUCUCCCGCACCCUUAGACUCUCUCUCCCCCUCUCUGCUUCACCCUCCCCCUCUUGCUGAAAUGAGCCGGAUCUAUAACUUGAAAACGGUGGGGUCCAGGGCGGCGGUGUGCAUGAGUGACAGGACCGUGGAUAGGCCUAUCCCAUCACACACUCCUAAGGUACAGUCCGACAUAUCCGCAGAACAGCAGAAGCCAUGCAGUCCAGAGAGAUCAGUUGGGAGGCUGACACAGAAGCAGCUGUGGGGUGGUGGUGGGGCUCCUGGGAAUAAAGCCUCUUCCAGCGAUGAGAAGUCCGGACUUCAGAAUGUACAGCGUCAGGUGGAACAGCUUCAGUUGCGAGAACAACAGGAAGUACAGAGACUAUCACAUGACGACAACGCAGCACAGUUGUCUUUUGGACAAAAUAUUAAUUUGAAAGAUAAAGAGUCUAAAGCUCAGCAAAGCCCUAGGAUAUCACACAACCAGCCUAAUAAGGAACCUCAGCAGAAGCAUCCGAGGCAAAAGGACCAGCAAACAAUCCUAAAUCCCAGAAAGUCUCAGACCAAUCUGCAACUGCACUCUGAAAGGCCUCCUCAACCCAAGCAGGCCCAGUCCAACCAACCCAAACAGGCCCGAUCCAUUACCAUCAACUCCAGAUCUGUCCUGACCCCCUCUCCUGAGAACUCAUUACACCCAGACCAGGGAGUACCAACCACCCCAUCAGCUUCCCCAUCCCAGUCCCCCUCCGUCUCUCCCUCCCCUUCCCCUUCUCCGGCCCAUUUCACCAUCAGAAGCCUCUCUGGAGGCCAGCAGGUCAAGAGGGGCACCACCAUCACCAUCACCCCCAGGAAGCCUGUUGGAGGGGCAGUCGUGGAAGCUGUUUCAGUAUCCUCUAGACCCCUGGCCAAUACGUCUGCCCAGUCCCAGAUGCCUGUCCUAACCGAGGAAGGAGAGAGAGGCAAGAAGAGGUACCCCACUGCGGAGGAGAUCGAAGUGAUCGGCGGGUAUCAGAACCUGGACAAGUCCUGCCUGGUCAAGACUUCCAAAGCAUCUCCCAAAGGGGUGAAGGUGUGCUUCGAUGAGACCCAGCUGGAGCAGGUGUGUGAGUACCCAUCAGAGACCUCCAUGUUUGACUCCACCCACUCCCCCUUACUUGGUCAGGUGAAAGGGAGGGAGGAGGAGGUGAAGGAGGAAGACGAGGAGGAGAGAGGAGUGCUUGUGUCCAGGAGCAGCAGGAAUGUGGGGGCAGCGGUUGGCCUGAGAGUGCUGAGAGUGGCAGUAGCCCAGGUGAGAGCCCUCCCGAUCAUCAGCGUGAUGAGGUAGGCUAUCUUGGAGCGAUCCGAGGGGAAGGAGGAGGGCUGAAGCUUGAAGACGAGGAUACAUUGAGCUAGGAACGCCCGACAGGUGCUCGGCUCUCCAUUGAAGCAUUCUGGAGGAGAUGAGUCUUGCCAUCGGUAGACAUCAGUCGGCUCGCCAAAUUGCUCAAGUUAUGUGGUUAAGAUAAGAUUUUAUCUUGCAAUAUGACUUUUGUUUUCCUGUAUUUUGUUUCUUUGAAACUAUUCAUUUAAUGUUUGUAAUCUUUUUUGAUGUACAAUAUUUUAUUUUUACAUAGGAUCAGGGACUAUUGGUUUUGAAUAAAAGAAAACAACAGUUUUAUGUAGUUGUUGAGAUGAAUGUGUAACGAUGUGCGCUGAGAGUCGGGAAGCAAAUUCAGGGAGUGAGUGUUUUAAUAAUUAAACGCAAUAUAAUACAAACCACAAACAACGCAUAGACAGGGAACUGAAACAGAAACAAUGACACCUGGAAUAGGAACCAAAGGGAGUGACAUAUAUAGGGAAGGUAAUCAGGGAAGUGAUGGAGUCCAGGUGUGUCUGAUGAUGCGCAGGUGCGCGUAACAAUGGUAACACGUGUGCCCCAUAACGAGCAGCCUGGUGACCAAGAGGCUGGAGAGGUAGCACACGUGACAGAAUGGUGGAUGGAGCCUCAACUCCUCUAUUUCAGUGUAAAAGUGUAAAGACAAUAUGAAAACAUGGUACAUAUUGUAACCAAUAAGUUUUACUAUAUACACUUGUUGUAUUUUUACUAUCAGUUGUGUACUUUUGGGUGAUGAUCACAUCUAUGCAAGUUAGUGGAUUACAAAUGUAUGGUAAAAAGGGUCCGGUCAGUUUAGUUUUAGUUAGCUUAGAUCAACAACACAACGUCUCUACUGUAUAUAAACUCUGCAUCAGCACUGUAACGAUUCCCUGUGCAUUCCAAAUGACACCCUAUUCCCGACAGGGCUCUGGACAAAAGUAGUGCACUAUAAAGGGAUUAGAAUGUCAUUUUGGACACAUCCUCAAUGAUACUUACCGUAUAUCAUCUGGUCCCUGUGCCUGCUGGAUUUGCUCAUACCGAUGACAUAAAGAACAGGUCAUCUACAAGUCCAACGUGAAUUUUGAGCCUUGUGAACACCCCUCAUGUGUAGUUUCUGGUAAACCAUGGCUAUAUGUAACAUCAUGACAAUUCUCUUUUGUUCAAUUACUGUUUCUGUUUCAACCACAACAUGGAUAUCAGCUAGCCUUAAUGCACAUGAUUUAAAACACUGAUGAUACAUUAUGGAAUAAUCACCAAUACACAUUAUUAUAAUCUUCUUUUUUUAGGUUUCACUGUUUGCCCUUUAGUGGAAUUAAUGUGGUAGAAUGAAAAAGAGUAGUAUAUCUACUGUAUCUAUACUAAUUUGACUGCAUAGUUUUGAAUGGAAAAGGUAUUAUGUUUGUGUCUCUGGUGUUAUCAUGUGAGAGGAUGUGGGUGAAAACAUGAUUUAAGGGAUGUUUAUAACAUUUAAUCCAUAGAAUGGUCCUUUGGAGGAGGGAUUGGUGACAUAUAUUUGGCAUUUGUAUCUAAAAGCAUAAUUGAGAAAUAAUUCAUCAAAGUUGGCAUAUUUAUGAAAUGUUGAUCUUACACAGGUCUCUUUUAAGACCUUAUGUUUAUCUGUAGGUGCUACAGAGCAAACAUUGGUGGCAUAUGAAGCUUUACCGCUUGCUCUGUAAUAUGAGUAGUAUUUUGUUUUCAAUAACAAUUUUCUUGCAUUAAUUUAUGAAUACAGAAGAAUAAGUACAUUUUUUGAUUUAGCCAUUUUUUCUAUAUAUUGUUGAACAUAAUAUACUCUAUGGACAUAUCAAAGUUCUCUGUUGCUUUUAAUUAUUAUCCAAUUUGUAAGCAUUAAGAACAGAGUGAAUGUGAAAAUUGAUUCAAAAUGGUUGCCCUCUGCUGGUGAUUUGCAGGAUGUACAAUAUGUUGAAAGAUUUGCCAAAUAUUUUUUUAUAUAUUCUAUAUUCUUGUUUAUGUUAUAUUCAUUAAUUCAUGUAAGAAAAUUGUUAUUGAAAUCAAAAUACCACUCAUGUUUCAAAGUAAGUGGAAAAGAGACACAGGUUUUUGUAGCACCUACAUAUGAAACAUGGCAUCUUAAAGGAGGCCUGGGUAAGGACAAAAUGUAAUAACUAUGACAACUUCAAUGAAUUAUUUCUCAAUUCUGCUUUUAAAUACAAAUGUAAAAUAUAUUUCAAUGAUCCUUCCUCCAAAGAAGCAUUCUAUGGAUUAAAUGUUGUGAAAUCUCCCAACUCAUGGUAUUAUGUCAUCCUGGUUUUGUGAGGAAUCACCGACAUCCCAAAUAAGGGCACAAACAUUAUAAUGGCUCCAUGGGAUGCUGUAAUCUCAAUUUUAGGUGCUCUUUUUUGAUGAGAAAUAAUCUAAAUGAAGAAUAUCAGAUUGGUGGUAUAUCUGAUUUAUGCUCCCACGUGUGCAAUUUUAAUACUACUUUUAUUCUGUUUUCUAUUGUGGUCGAAGAAGCUGGCUUCAUGAGAGAAAAACAUCAAAUAAAUUAUUUGAAACUAA